This is a long non-coding RNA of Triticum dicoccoides, 459 nucleotides long. RefSeq lists it as uncharacterized. Lineage: Eukaryota; Viridiplantae; Streptophyta; Magnoliopsida; Poales; Poaceae. The record is from RefSeq and is a predicted model, not a curated record. The transcript has 3 exons.
AAAAAAACCUCUCCGAAUUAAUCUACCUGCUCCUGCUUCAGCUGCAAUCUGGUUUCCUUGGCUCUGCCACUUGAAGUUUAAAUCGGCGUGUAAGUGAAGGCGUAUUUCUCCUUCACGCCUUCCCUGGUGCAAUGCUAUUUAAUCAGAAAUCAUUAUCUUUAAGAUUCAAGGACGUUGGAGGAGUGUCCAAAACCAUUGAAGACUUUGCUGAGCGAGGCAAGCAACCUACUUUGAUCAUGUUGAACCCAUAUUUGCAUCACACUUAGAAUUUUUUUUCAUGCAUAAAGUAUUGUUUACUAGUAUUGCUAUGUUAAGUAAAUUUGCUAGGGUUUAGCUAUGCCCCCUAUGUGCUUGAUAUUGACACCCCUUUGACAUUCUUAUGCUAAGUAAAUUAGCUAGGGUUUAGCUAUGCUCUAUGUACUUGAUAUUGACACCCUCCUUUGACAUUCUUAAUACCCC